Molecule: ribosomal RNA, 450 nt
Filed under: uncultured Glomeromycotina
Lineage: Eukaryota; Fungi; Glomeromycota
Description: SSU rRNA
Rfam family: Eukaryotic small subunit ribosomal RNA
Source: RNAcentral
AGCAGCCGCGGUAAUUCCAGCUCCAAUAGCGUAUAUUAAAGUUGUUGCAGUUAAAAAGCUCGUAGUUGAAUUUCGGGAUCAAGGAAUCGGUCAUGCCUCGGUAUGUACUGGUUUUAUUGGUUCUCACCUUCUAAAGAACCAUAAUGUCAUUUAUUUGAUGUUAUGGGGAAUUAGGACUGUUACCUUGAAAAAAUUAGAGUGUUUAAAGCAGGCUCACGCUUGAAUACAUUAGCAUGGAAUAACGAAAUAGGACGUUUGAUUCUAUUUUGUUGGUUUCUAGGAUCGACGUAAUGAUUAAUAGGGAUAGUUGGGGGCAUUAGUAUUCAAUUGUCAGAGGUGAAAUUCUUGGAUUUAUUGAAGACUAACUACUGCGAAAGCAUUUGCCAAGGAUGUUUUCAUUAAUCAAGAACGAAAGUUAGGGGAUCGAAGACGAAUCAGAUACCGUCGUAG